This 207-nucleotide unclassified non-coding RNA is filed under the name Hevea brasiliensis (rubber tree). The record is from RNAcentral. Lineage: Eukaryota; Viridiplantae; Streptophyta; Magnoliopsida; Malpighiales; Euphorbiaceae.
GUAUUGGUUAAUUAGAAAAUCAAUAUUGGUUAAUUGUUAAAGCCUGUCCCAAUUACAUACAUACAUAAAAAAUAAAUGUAACUUCUAAUGAGGCAGGUCUGGUUAGGUUGAGCUUCAAAUAAAGAUAAGUUUCAAGCCCGACCAACUUUGGAAACAUGCUUUAACCAAUUUGCUCUUGGUUCAUCCAUGGGACAAAACUCCUUACCC